Molecule: ribosomal RNA, 253 nt
Filed under: uncultured bacterium
Lineage: Bacteria
Description: partial 16S ribosomal RNA
Rfam family: Bacterial small subunit ribosomal RNA
Source: RNAcentral
UACGGAGGGUGCAAGCGUUGUCCGGAUUUAUUGGGCUUAAAGGGUGCGUAGGCGGGGUCUCAAGUCUGGUUUGAAAGUUAGCUGCUCAACAGUUAGACGUGGCUGGAUACUGGGGUUCUGGAAUGGGUUGGCGGCUGCCGGAACGGGUAGUGUAGCGGUGAAAUGCGUAGAUAUGACCCAGAACACCGAUUGCGAAGGCAGGCAGCUACGACCUGAUUGACACUGAGGCACGAAAGCAUGGGUAGCGAACAGG